GCCAGUGUGGUGUAGUGGUUUGAGCACUGGACUAUGACUCUGGAGACCAGGGUUUGAAUCCCCACUUGGCCA
Molecule: transfer RNA, 72 nt
Filed under: Phrynosoma platyrhinos (Desert horned lizard)
Lineage: Eukaryota; Metazoa; Chordata; Lepidosauria; Squamata; Phrynosomatidae
Description: tRNA-OTHER
Source: RNAcentral